This 253-nucleotide ribosomal RNA is filed under the name uncultured bacterium. RNAcentral's name for it is "partial 16S ribosomal RNA". It matches the Rfam family "Bacterial small subunit ribosomal RNA", at positions 524 to 776 of the family's 1533-position model. The record is from RNAcentral.
UACGUAGGGGGCAAGCGUUGUCCGGAUUUAUUGGGCGUAAAGAGCGUGUAGGCGGCUAGGUAGGUCCGUUGUGAAAACUCGAGGCUCAACCUCGAGCUGUCGGCGGAAACCAUCUGGCUAGAGUCCGGAAGAGGAGAGUGGAAUUCCUGGUGUAGCGGUGAAAUGCGCAGAUAUCAGGAAGAACACCUAUGGCGAAGGCAGCUCUCUGGGACGGUACUGACGCUGAGACGCGAAAGCGUGGGGAGCGAACAGG